UACGGAGGAUGCAAGCGUUAUCCGGAAUGAUUGGGCGUAAAGCGUCCGCAGGUGGCUGUGUAAGUCUGCUGUUAAAUAGUGAGGCUCAACCUCAUAAAGGCAGUGGAAACUACACGGCUAGAGUGCGUUCGGGGCAGAGGGAAUUCCUGGUGUAGCGGUGAAAUGCGUAGAGAUCAGGAAGAACACCGGUGGCGAAAGCGCUCUGCUAGGCCGUAACUGACACUGAGGGACGAAAGCUAGGGGAGCGAAUGGG
RNAcentral lists this ribosomal RNA (253 nucleotides) under uncultured bacterium. RNAcentral's name for it is "partial 16S ribosomal RNA". It matches the Rfam family "Bacterial small subunit ribosomal RNA", at positions 524 to 776 of the family's 1533-position model. The record is from RNAcentral.